Molecule: long non-coding RNA, 1382 nt
Filed under: Brassica napus (rape)
Lineage: Eukaryota; Viridiplantae; Streptophyta; Magnoliopsida; Brassicales; Brassicaceae
Description: long non-coding RNA (BNAP_LNC003226)
Source: RNAcentral
AAUAGGCAAACUUCAACGACAAGUACGAGGAGUACAGGAAGAAGUGGGGAGGAGGCAUCAUGGGAUCCAAGUCUCAAGCCAAGACCAAAGCUAAGGAGAGGGUUCUUGCCAAGGAGGCUGCCCAGAGAAUGAACUAAGCGGAGCACCUCGUUUGAGUUAUGUUUUUGUUUAGCGAUUUCUUGGGAUACUUUAAAACUUUAUGCUCUUACUAUCGAUGUUGCACACUUGAGGAUUUUAUGCAGUUUUUGUUAAGACAUUUUACUUUUGAGAUUAUUAUUUUCUUAUUUACUGAUCCGUUUUUGCAUAUUAAAACAAUGAACCCGUGCUUAGAGUUAUAAUUUUGCCCAGUGAAUUUAACUACUCAACUUAGUUGUUUGAGAUGACCAGAGUUGCUAAAAGGAGAAUAGCUAAUAGUGUUACUAUUACCAAAAACUAAGUGAAGUUAGCAGCUUUCAUUUGUCCUUCAAAAAUAUACCGCAUCUAAUGCUGUUCUAAUUCACACGCCCAGUUCUUUUUUUGGGGGUCAUUUGAUGAUAUAUAUGUUCAAAAUGCAAAUAGUACACAUGACAAAUCCAUCUCUUCACAGACCCAUAAAUAGGUAAACAUCUAUCCAAACACCUACCUUCCCAAAAACAUUAAAGCCCAAAUCCAGACCACAAUGGACUGUGGAUUGUUUUUAAACACAAACUAUUGUUUUCUUUUCUAAAUUAUUUCUUUUUUUUUUUUUUUUUUUUUUUCUGGUUGCCUGCUCUUUGCAGAAAGAUGGAAGUGCCUUACUGCAUUGUCAAAGGCAAAUCUCGUCUUGGAACGGUAAAUACAAUUCGACUAUUUACACUUAAUUAGUAUUUUAUCUUUUUAUACACUCUUACACCUUUGAUUGAUGUUUCAUUGCUCGCAUCUGCUUGCAGGUUGUUCACCAGAAGACUGCUGCUUGCUUGUGUUUGACCACUGUUAAGAACGAGGACAAACUCGAGUUCAGCAAAAUCCUUGAAGCCAUCAAGGUGAAUAAAAAACUGGCUCAACUUGAACUGUGUGACAAUUGAAGAUUAGUAGUAUAAUUCUUGAAGAAGAGUUGAGUAUAUCUUCUAACGUUUUUUUUUGUCUGGGUUUGAAUAGGCAAACUUCAACGACAAGUACGAGGAGUACAGGAAGAAGUGGGGAGGAGGCAUCAUGGGAUCCAAGUCUCAAGCCAAGACCAAAGCUAAGGAGAGGGUUCUUGCCAAGGAGGCUGCCCAGAGAAUGAACUAAGCGGAGCACCUCGUUUGAGUUAUGUUUUUGUUUAGCGAUUUCUUGGGAUACUUUAAAACUUUAUGCUCUUACUAUCGAUGUUGCACACUUGAGGAUUUUAUGCAGUUUUUGUUAAGACAUUUUACUUUUGAGAU